Molecule: ribosomal RNA, 253 nt
Filed under: Staphylococcus aureus
Lineage: Bacteria; Bacillati; Bacillota; Bacilli; Caryophanales; Staphylococcaceae
Description: partial 23S ribosomal RNA
Rfam family: Bacterial large subunit ribosomal RNA
Source: RNAcentral
CGGCUCAUCGCAUCCUGGGGCUGUAGUCGGUCCCAAGGGUUGGGCUGUUCGCCCAUUAAAGCGGUACGCGAGCUGGGUUCAGAACGUCGUGAGACAGUUCGGUCCCUAUCCGUCGUGGGCGUAGGAAAUUUGAGAGGAGCUGUCCUUAGUACGAGAGGACCGGGAUGGACAUACCUCUGGUGUACCAGUUGUCGUGCCAACGGCAUAGCUGGGUAGCUAUGUGUGGACGGGAUAAGUGCUGAAAGCAUCUAAG